This 480-nucleotide ribosomal RNA is filed under the name Escherichia sp. RNAcentral's name for it is "bacterial SSU rRNA". It matches the Rfam family "Bacterial small subunit ribosomal RNA", at positions 271 to 745 of the family's 1533-position model. Lineage: Bacteria; Pseudomonadati; Pseudomonadota; Gammaproteobacteria; Enterobacterales; Enterobacteriaceae. The record is from RNAcentral.
AGGCGACGAUCCCUAGCUGGUCUGAGAGGAUGACCAGCCACACUGGAACUGAGACACGGUCCAGACUCCUACGGGAGGCAGCAGUGGGGAAUAUUGCACAAUGGGCGCAAGCCUGAUGCAGCCAUGCCGCGUGUAUGAAGAAGGCCUUCGGGUUGUAAAGUACUUUCAGCGGGGAGGAAGGGAGUAAAGUUAAUACCUUUGCUCAUUGACGUUACCCGCAGAAGAAGCACCGGCUAACUCCGUGCCAGCAGCCGCGGUAAUACGGAGGGUGCAAGCGUUAAUCGGAAUUACUGGGCGUAAAGCGCACGCAGGCGGUUUGUUAAGUCAGAUGUGAAAUCCCCGGGCUCAACCUGGGAACUGCAUCUGAUACUGGCAAGCUUGAGUCUCGUAGAGGGGGGUAGAAUUCCAGGUGUAGCGGUGAAAUGCGUAGAGAUCUGGAGGAAUACCGGUGGCGAAGGCGGCCCCCUGACGAAGACUACG